UUUCAACAAGAAGGGAUAGAAUAAUAGCAGCAGCAAUGGUCAUUCUAGCUGUUGUGACAAGCACCAUAGCUAUUUCUACGAAUAUAUAUAAGUUAGUUGGAAAUAAGUCAUAGGUCUUUGUCUUUUUCAGCUUUGUUGUGGUUGAGUUGUAUGUUUUCCUGUAUAAUAUCAAAUGUGGGUUGUAUUGUUUCUGACAAGCACCAUAGCUCUUU
Molecule: long non-coding RNA, 212 nt
Filed under: Coffea arabica (coffee)
Lineage: Eukaryota; Viridiplantae; Streptophyta; Magnoliopsida; Gentianales; Rubiaceae
Description: long non-coding RNA (CARA_LNC001231)
Source: RNAcentral